GUGCGCCCGGCAGCCCCGGGCGGGAGCGGGCGGGCGUGCACAGGAGGGUAUGCCUCUCUCGCCGGGUGCGCAUACGGGCGCGACCGUGUGUAUAUAGGAUAAUCAGUACUGAAGUUCACAUACUGGGGGAAGAAUGACAUCAAAGAACAUUAUGUGAAGCAAUGUGUCCAUCUCUGUGCAGCUUCAGAAGAAGGACAUUGAAGCAGUCUUCCGAUCCAGUUACUGGAUUGCUGAGAAUAAUUAAAGAUUUACUGGGAUACAGAAGAGAAGGGGGAGAAAGGGUGAACUCGCUUGCUAGCCUAUGGUAUUGCCACAAAGAAAGCCACAUUCAGUCACUCAAGCCACUUCAAGAGCCUACCAAACUAAGCCUCUUUUUCUUUUUUUCCAAGCACCUAAAGAGAGGGCUUGUACAACAGAUUUUAAAGAGCUUUGCAAGGUUUCAAGACCAAAGCCAAUUAAAGGAAGAAGCUAACAGAAACAAGAUAGUAAAUUAAGAUGAUCCAGGUCUUUGGCAAACACAGGAUCUGGAGAAAAAAGACAGAAGCCACAAGGCAUUACUUUUUGUCUCCUGACUCUGAAAAUGGCAAUGAGCCAAAGCUUGAGCUCCUCUAAACUGGUAUUCCUCGCUUAAAACUUUGAUGGGACAUUAUUGAUCAUUGCCUCAGGUGGAGAAAUGGCCAUAAUUUAGGAUGUUGGUUUUACAAUUCUUAAUGCUGGAUUAGGUGGCUAGACUAAAUUAUCUUCAAGAAGUCCUUUUUUUUUUUUUAAAGUUUGAUGACAUAGUGAGUCAUUCCAAGAAUGCAGAUAUACAUGUAACAGUGGCUAUGAGGAAAAUGAGGUAGUAUUGGUAUAAGUCCUCUUCCCACUACUGUAACAUUUUUCAUUUCCUUUUAAACACUGUAUUUUGCACCUUUUUUAUACAUUAUCCUGUGUUAAAGACUGUGUAGUUAAAACUCAACAUUUUUAUAAAAUGUACC
Aquila chrysaetos chrysaetos is the source of this 977-nucleotide long non-coding RNA. RefSeq lists it as uncharacterized. The transcript is spliced from 6 exons. NCBI's taxonomy places the organism in Eukaryota, Metazoa, Chordata, Aves, Accipitriformes, Accipitridae. The record is from RefSeq and is a predicted model, not a curated record.